GGUUGUGGCUCAGUGGUAGAGCACCUGCCUAGUAUGCAUGAGGCACUGGGUUCAUUUCCUGGCACCA
Molecule: transfer RNA, 67 nt
Filed under: Marmota monax (woodchuck)
Lineage: Eukaryota; Metazoa; Chordata; Mammalia; Rodentia; Sciuridae
Description: tRNA.Thr
Rfam family: tRNA
About the family: Transfer RNA (tRNA) molecules are approximately 80 nucleotides in length. Their secondary structure includes four short double-helical elements and three loops (D, anti-codon, and T loops).
Source: RNAcentral